UCAGUAUUUGGGUCAAUAUUCGGACUUAUUCAGUUCCGACAUAACUACUAACAGAUGCUAACCCAUCACACUCACUCUUCUAUCACACACUCAGUGUUAAUCUGACUGCUUCCACACUGACUCUGCAACUGUCUGUUCAGAUAUUCAUCACAGAGAGUCUUGCAGAAGCUUCUGCAGUGUGUGGUAUCUCAGAGAAGAUUGAAAACCUCUAUAAUGAGUUUUUCAUGCUGUGAAUCAUCAUACCUUCAUAGAUGGAGCUCACUGAGCAUCUAUCUACAUUGUUGAUAGAGUCUCAGUGAGGAUGAAGUGAUACAUUUGUACCAACAGCAUCAGAUACCAGCAGCAUAAGUCUAUCAGAGUAUUUGAUUUCUCUGUUGCCAUUUGCAAGGCAAACGGGCGUCACACCUGCUUGUUGAUUAACAAACAGGCAGUAUCGGACGGAAUCCGGCUAUAUGAACUGGCUUUUUUUUGAGGGGGGAGGGGAGAAUGUUUGAUGCUUUGUGAAUUGAGUCCUUGGUUUUCAUUUUGUUCGCUUUGCGACUUUUCUCAUAUUUCAUAUCACGACUUCGGCUUUUGGUUUCGUCUGAAUGAUGCUUUUCUUGACGCCGCGGACCCAUUUUCCUUGGUUAGAUUUGGUUUUUGUUGUCGCUGCUCUUUUUAUUGAGCUCUCAGAUACCCACAUAUGCAAAUGGAAUC
Molecule: small RNA, 696 nt
Filed under: Histoplasma capsulatum var. duboisii H88
Lineage: Eukaryota; Fungi; Ascomycota; Eurotiomycetes; Onygenales; Ajellomycetaceae
Description: Histoplasma capsulatum H88 hypothetical RNA
Source: RNAcentral